GGACUACUAGGGUUUCUAAUCCUGUUUGCUCCCCACGCUUUCGCACCUCAGCGUCAACAGUCGUCCAGUAAGUCGCCUUCGCCACUGGUGUUCUUCCGAAUAUCUACGAAUUUCACCUCUACACUCGGAAUUCCACUUACCUCUCCGACGUUCUAGCGAUGCAGUCUUAAAGGCAAUUCCGGAGUUGAGCCCCGGGCUUUCACCUCUAACUUACAAAGCCGCCUACGUGCGCUUUACGCCCAGUAAUUCCGAACAACGCUAGCCCCCUCCGUAUUACCGCGGCUGCUGGCAC
RNAcentral lists this ribosomal RNA (292 nucleotides) under uncultured Alphaproteobacteria bacterium. RNAcentral describes it as "partial 16S ribosomal RNA". Lineage: Bacteria; Pseudomonadati; Pseudomonadota; Alphaproteobacteria. The record is from RNAcentral.